CGUUCCCGGGUCUUGUACACACCGCCCGUCACACCACGAGAGUUUACAACACCCGAAGUCGGUGGGGUAACCCGCGAGGGAGCCAGCCGCCGAAGGUGGGGUAGAUGAUUGGGGUG
RNAcentral lists this ribosomal RNA (116 nucleotides) under uncultured bacterium. RNAcentral's name for it is "partial 16S ribosomal RNA". It matches the Rfam family "Bacterial small subunit ribosomal RNA", at positions 1369 to 1482 of the family's 1533-position model. The record is from RNAcentral.